GCCUAACACAUGCAAGUCGAGCGGUAGCACAGAGAGCUUGCUCUCGGGUGACGAGCGGCGGACGGGUGAGUAAUGUCUGGGAAACUGCCUGAUGGAGGGGGAUAACUACUGGAAACGGUAGCUAAUACCGCAUAACGUCGCAAGACCAAAGUGGGGGACCUUCGGGCCUCAUGCCAUCAGAUGUGCCCAGAUGGGAUUAGCUAGUAGGUGGGGUAACGGCUCACCUAGGCGACGAUCCCUAGCUGGUCUGAGAGGAUGACCAGCCACACUGGAACUGAGACACGGUCCAGACUCCUACGGGAGGCAGCAGUGGGGAAUAUUGCACAAUGGGCGCAAGCCUGAUGCAGCCAUGCCGCGUGUGUGAAGAAGGCCUUCGGGUUGUAAAGCACUUUCAGCGGGGAGGAAGGCGUUAAGGUUAAUAACCUUGGCGAUUGACGUUACCCGCAGAAGAAGCACCGGCUAACUCCGUGCCAGCAGCCGCGGUAAUACGGAGGGUGCAAGCGUUAAUCGGAAUUACUGGGCGUAAAGCGCACGCAGGCGGUCUGUCAAGUCGGAUGUGAAAUCCCCGGGCUCAACCUGGGAACUGCAUUCGAAACUGGCAGGCUAGAGUCUUGUAGAGGGGGGUAGAAUUCCAGGUGUAGCGGUGAAAUGCGUAGAGAUCUGGAGGAAUACCGGUGGCGAAGGCGGCCCCCUGGACAAAGACUGACGCUCAGGUGCGAAAGCGUGGGGAGCAAACAGGAUUAGAUACCCUGGUAGUCCACGCCGUAAACGAUGUCGAUUUGGAGGUUGUGCCCUUGAGGCGUGGCUUCCGGAGCUAACGCGUUAAAUCGACCGCCUGGGGAGUACGGCCGCAAGGUUAAAACUCAAAUGAAUUGACGGGGGCCCGCACAAGCGGUGGAGCAUGUGGUUUAAUUCGAUGCAACGCGAAGAACCUUACCUGGUCUUGACAUCCACAGAACUUUCCAGAGAUGGAUUGGUGCCUUCGGGAACUGUGAGACAGGUGCUGCAUGGCUGUCGUCAGCUCGUGUUGUGAAAUGUUGGGUUAAGUCCCGCAACGAGCGCAACCCUUAUCCUUUGUUGCCAGCGGUUCGGCCGGGAACUCAAAGGAGACUGCCAGUGAUAAACUGGAGGAAGGUGGGGAUGACGUCAAGUCAUCAUGGCCCUUACGACCAGGGCUACACACGUGCUACAAUGGCAUAUACAAAGAGAAGCGACCUCGCGAGAGCAAGCGGACCUCAUAAAGUAUGUCGUAGUCCGGAUUGGAGUCUGCAACUCGACUCCAUGAAGUCGGAAUCGCUAGUAAUCGUAGAUCAGAAUGCUACGGUGAAUACGUUCCCGGGCCUUGUACACACCGCCCGUCACACCAUGGGAGUGGGUUGCAAAAGAAGUAGGUAGCUUAACCUUCGGGAGGGCGCUUACCACUUUGUGAUUCAUGACUGGGGUGAAGUCGUA
Molecule: ribosomal RNA, 1452 nt
Filed under: uncultured organism
Description: SSU rRNA
Rfam family: Bacterial small subunit ribosomal RNA
Source: RNAcentral